Molecule: ribosomal RNA, 253 nt
Filed under: uncultured bacterium
Lineage: Bacteria
Description: partial 16S ribosomal RNA
Rfam family: Bacterial small subunit ribosomal RNA
Source: RNAcentral
UACGAAGGGAGCUAACGUUGUUCGGAAUCACUGGGCGUAAAGCGCACGUAGGCGGAUGUGUCAGUCAGGGGUGAAAUCCCGGAGCUCAACUUCGGAACUGCCUUUGAUACAGCACGUCUUGAGUCCGAUAGAGGUGGGUGGAAUUCCUAGUGUAGAGGUGAAAUUCGUAGAUAUUAGGAAGAACACCGGUGGCGAAGGCGGCCCACUGGAUCGGUACUGACGCUGAGGUGCGAAAGCGUGGGGAGCAAACAGG